Molecule: small nuclear RNA, 104 nt
Organism: Erinaceus europaeus (western European hedgehog)
Lineage: Eukaryota; Metazoa; Chordata; Mammalia; Eulipotyphla; Erinaceidae
Source: Ensembl
GUGCUCACUUCAACAGCACAUAUACUAAAAUUGUAAUGAAACAGAGAUUAGCAUGGCCCCUGCACAAGAAUGACGUGCAAAUUUGUGAAACGUUCCAUUUUUAA